GUCGAACGCUGGCGGCGUGCCUAAUACAUGCAAGUAGAACGCUGAAGAGAGGAGCUUGCUCUUCUUGGAUGAGUUGCGAACGGGUGAGUAACGCGUAGGUAACCUGCCUUGUAGCGGGGGAUAACUAUUGGAAACGAUAGCUAAUACCGCAUAACAAGGGAUGACUCAUGUCAUUUAUUUGAAAGGGGCAAAUGCUCCACUACAAGAUGGACCUGCGUUGUAUUAGCUAGUAGGUGAGGUGACGGCUCACCUAGGCGACGAGACAUAGCCGACCUGAGAGGGUGAUCGGCCACACUGGGACUGAGACGCGGACCAGACUCCGACGGGAGGCAGCAGUAGGGAAUCUUCGGCAAUGGGGGCAACCCUGACCGAGCAACGCCGCGUGAGUGAAGAAGGUUUUCGGAUCGUAAAGCUCUGUUGUAAGUCAAGAACGAGUGUGAGAGUGGAAAGUUCACACUGGGACGGUAGCUUACCAGAAAGGGACGGCUAACUACGUGCCAGCAGCCGCGGUAA
RNAcentral lists this ribosomal RNA (513 nucleotides) under uncultured bacterium. RNAcentral describes it as "partial 16S ribosomal RNA". It matches the Rfam family "Bacterial small subunit ribosomal RNA", at positions 28 to 523 of the family's 1533-position model. The record is from RNAcentral.